Molecule: ribosomal RNA, 253 nt
Filed under: uncultured bacterium
Lineage: Bacteria
Description: partial 16S ribosomal RNA
Rfam family: Bacterial small subunit ribosomal RNA
Source: RNAcentral
UACGGAGGGUGCAAGCGUUAUCCGGAUUCGCUGGGGUUAAAGGGUGCGUAGGCGGGUUGGUAAGUCCGUGGUGAAAUCUCCGAGCUUAACUCGGAAACUGCCGUGGAUACUAUCAAUCUUGAAUAUCGUGGAGGUAAGCGGAAUAUGUCAUGUAGCGGUGAAAUGCUUAGAUAUGACAUAGAACACCAAUUGCGUAGGCAGCUUACUACACGAUCAUUGACGCUGAGGCACGAAAGCGUGGGGAGCAAACAGG